This is a non-coding RNA of Paramuricea clavata, 2062 nucleotides long. The record is from the annotation of a GenBank genome assembly. NCBI's taxonomy places the organism in Eukaryota, Metazoa, Cnidaria, Anthozoa, Malacalcyonacea, Plexauridae.
CAUAUUCUUGUUUAUCUUCUGGGGAUAACUUUGCAAGUUUCUCCGGCUUCAUCUCUGCGCGCGUGUGGGAUACUUUGAGCAGAGGUUUCAGGAAUUCCAGGAGAAGAAUAAGCCAUCUUAUUUUUGAAUGUCAGAAACCGGUUUAGCUGAUCACUAUAUAAUUUUGUUUUUUUCCAAGGCGCUAAGCUGUGGCGCUUCCAUGAUUUCUUUCAUUCUCUGUUCUGCAUCAUACAUUGCAUUGACAAGCGGUGGUUGUCGAUAUGACUGUUUUUGUAAAAACUUUGCAAUCUCGCUGGGAAGUAUGUUGGUCUUGAGUCGUUGUUGAUCGUCUGUUGUUGGCUUUAAAUCCAACAUCAAAUAUCCAUGAGGUCGCCUCGUGCCAUCUUCAUAACUCCUCAUAAAUUCUUGUGCUUUCCCGGGAUUUACUUGUCUGGGAAGCAUAGAAAUUUGUUGUUUAUCUCUUGGUGACUUGAACAAUACGAUAUAAUGAGCGUUUAGACUGAUAUUUCUCAUUUAUUUACCUUGAAGAAAUAUAUUUUGAACGAUGUGGAUGAUAGAUAAAUUCCGAUGAUGACUUCCUUUCGCAAAAAAAUCGGACAUACGUUUAUCUUUGCCGGAUUGUGCCAUAAGAUCAUCCAAUACGAUCAAAUCCCGUUGCGAUAAGUCUAAGUAAUCUGCGUUGUCGAUGUCGAUGCCUUGAGUAAACUCGAUUCCAGGCAUUCUCCUCAUCAUUUCAAAAUAGGAGGGUUUCCACUGACCAUAACACCAAAUGAUACGUUGAGGAGGUGGACUUAUAGUUUGCUGUGCUUUCUCCAAGAGAGAUUUCACCCACACAGUCUUGCCGCUUUGUGUACACCAGGCUACGGUACACAAAAACUGAAGAUCCUGCUGAGAUUUCAACUGGUUUGCUUUGAACAUCUCCAUGGGUAUUCAAAGUAUGACGCUUGAGGUUGCCGCGUGGUGAAAAUACUUUGGCACAUAUAUUGCACGGAAAGGACAUGUUCACACCGCGAACGUCUGGCUGCAAGUGAUAAUAAGUUGGCGUAUUCGUUCUAUAUAUUUAUUUAUGCAUCUAUCCACUAUUCUUCCUUAUCUUUACCUUCUUAUCUUAAUCUUCUUUCUCUUUAUUUUCCUUAUCCUUAUCGUCUUAUCUUCUUAUCUUUAUCUUCUUAUCUUAAUCUUCCUUAUCUUUCUCUUCUUUAUCUUUAUCUUCUUAUCUUCCUUAUCAUUAUCUUCAUCUUCCUUAUCCUUAUCCUUAUCUUUAUCUUUCUUAUCCUUAUCUUUAUCUUCCUUAUCCUUAUCUUUAUCUUCCUAAUCCCUAACUUUCUUAUCUUUAUCUUCUUAUUUUUAUCCUUAUCUUUAUCUUCUUAUCUUCCUUAUCCUUGUCUUUAUCUUCCUUAUCCUUGUCUUUAUCUUCCUUAUCCUUAUCCGUAUCUUGAUCUGUAUCUUUAUCUUCCUUAUCCUUAUCUUUAUCUUCUUGUCUUCCUUAUCCUUAUCCUUAUCUUUAUCUUCUUAUCUUCCUUAUCUUUCUUAUCCUUAUCUGACAUGCGCAUGGAGCCAAGUUCGAUAAGCUCAGAGCCGAGCUCUCAAUAGCUCGGAGCCUUGUCUAAAAUGCUUUCUCACUUCCGAUAUAAACCUUCUUAUUGUUGUGUUUUAAUCAUUUGCUUCCAAACGGCCGAACAGAAAUGAUCAAUCUUCUAAGACACAAGCCAUUCCGUGAACUGCUGGGCACGUCUGAGCCUGAUCAACAACAAGCGCUACUGGAAACAGCAACCGCUGAGCAAGUACACUGCCUGUGUCUCUGUGUAGAAAACGUUAUGAAAAGAAAAUGUUUAAUGCCGAAGCAUGUAAUGAAGAAACUCCGACCUUACAAGCAUAAAAUGCCUAGGUUGGCAGAUGGAGGAAAAUGUGGAAGAAGAAAAAAACGGAUACUCGUUCAACAUGGCAACGGUUUCCUUGGACUGUUACUAAGUCCUAUUUUGGAAAGCCUGACUGAACUUCUAUAAAAGCCCUUUGAUUACAUUUUAUACAUCAUUUCAACAAUGAACAGCGACAGUAAAAC